This is a long non-coding RNA of Cuculus canorus (common cuckoo), 4956 nucleotides long. RefSeq lists it as uncharacterized. Lineage: Eukaryota; Metazoa; Chordata; Aves; Cuculiformes; Cuculidae. The record is from RefSeq and is a predicted model, not a curated record. The transcript has 3 exons.
UCCAGCUACAUAGAAGAGGUUAUCCGCUUCCUACAGCUCUAUGCUGAAGACUGAAGUUUUGUUAUGGAAUAUAUACUACUCAAGGUUUCCUGUGCACUGCAGGAGUUGCAUUUUUUGGCAGGAUUAGAAACAAAAAUCAGAAGGAUUUCUACACCCAUGUCAUCUCCUAUCCUGGUGCCUGGGACAGCAGAUACACCAUGACCACAGGACAGCAAAGCACCUGUACAGCAAAGCAUCGUGCAGUCAUCUAAUGGAAAAGAUGGUUGUUGGUCCAGCUUUAGAAUGGAGAGUCUUUUCUGAGUCCCAGCCUCCACUGCAACUCAGCACGUCUUUCCCCUGAUUUUAUGAACCUGCAUGCAGCACAGUUGCUUGGUUCUCUUCUGCUGCUCAGACAGAUGGCUUAUCAGCUUUGUGAAGGCACAUGAGGAGUGGCAAAAGGAGAACUGUAGAUAUGUGGAAGAUGGACAUCAUCUGUCACAGAGCAUUUGGCACAAUCUCAUUGAUCUUAAUGUCCACUUAGAUCAUCGUGGAAAGUCCUGCGAUGUUCUCCCCAAGAUGUGCUUUUGAAUUAAUUUUUUAGCUACGCUGUGCAUUGGAAAAACAUGAUGUGUGUCCAUAAAAUUAACCAAAGCUUUUGGUAGAUAUUCAUUACUCAAGUCUUCCUCCAAAAAAGCUUCCUUUUUCAAUCAGUUGAUAUCUGAAUUUAGGGCUGCUGUUGUCCAUUUUGCAAAAUACAGAAGCAACAUUUUAAUGAAAAAGAUUUACAUCCUCACAGAUAUUGCAUCGGACUUCAGCUAAAUGGGCAAGUUGUAAAUAUCAUCUGGAGAAGACAUCCCAUUUACAAGUCUCCUAAGAAAUUUUCCUAUAAGCAGUAGAUUGCUCAAAUACAUGACUAGAGGAAAGAUUGCUAUAGUACCAGAAUACCAACUAGGACCAUAAUAUCAUUGCAAAAUCGCCUUAUAAGCCUGCCCGGUUUUUGUGGCCAAGAGAGAAUUAUGGUCCAGCUAUUCCAUGAUGUUUUAUGCUGAUCUUGUUGCAUCUUCUGCAGAACUAAUCUAGGGCAAGGCCUCAAAUCUAGGAAAUGGCUUCAAGUUGCACCAGUUGGGAUGAGAUUGAAUAUUUGGAGAAAUUACUUCACUGAAAGAGUAGUGAAACAUUGGACCAGGCUGUGGCGCAGGAAGUAGUACAGCCACCAUCCCUGGACAUGUUCAAAGAACGUGUAGACAUGGCACUUCAGGACACAGUUUCUAGGCCUGAGCUAAUGAUUGGAGUUGAUGAUCGUAGAAGUCUUUUCCAACCUUAAUGGUUCUAUGAUUCUGUUCUAUGAUUCUAGGAUAGCUUUUCCUUGUGGAUAAGUCCCAGUGUGUUUUGGGCACUAAAAUUUAGUAAAUUUACCUUUGAGUCUUUAGAUGGCCCCUUUACAAUCUAAACCAUCUUACACAGGAUACUACUGCUAGAGGAACAUGAGGGAAAAGAAAUAUCUAAUGUUACAUUCAAGCCUCAAAGUCCAGUGUGGUAAUGAAGGUCACCUCCAAAGUUCAAAGGUACAUCAAGACUCAUAUACACUUUUUUUAAACACUACUACUUUAUUUCAUUUUAUCUACCUUAUAUAGUAGCUUGGGUAUUACAAUACAGUAGCACAUUUAGAAUAAUUUUAUUUCCUGGUGAAAUACUCCCAGGGUGACAGAGAAUACUUGAACCAUUUAUUUUAUUCAAGAUAUGGCUGUGAGGAACUGGGAACCAAUCAGGAAAUCAGCUUCUAAUACAUGUGCCUGAUCUGAACUAAAACACUGACAUGUGCCCAUCUGUAGCACAGAUGUAGCACAGUCCAUGUCUACCUAACCUUUCUCUAACUCUUAGGCAGGGCAGUUAUGUCUAAGCCACAAGUUGAAGACCGUCUCUAGCCUGUAAUGAUCCAUGUCUACUAGUUGUCUGGAAAAGUACUGGAUUGCCUGGCCCAAAGACAUGUCGCAUACUUUGUUUAUAGUUUUACUGUACAGGUGGUGGUGUGCCAGUGCUUGGGGCAUGCCCUGACGUUACUCAGUUUACUGGACUGGCAUAGUUGCAGCUGCAGAAUCCCAGGAAGGGUUAGGGGCAUGAGAACUGAGGAAUGUUAACCGGCUUCAAUUACCGGCUCCAAUAGGUAUGCUGCUGAAAUCUACAUAGAUGAGUGGUAUAUAUUUAAUGGGGCUAGAGACUAUUAAUCCUGUGACAGAUUGCAAUCAUCCUAGACUUAGCACAAAGAACUAGAAACAAUAAUUCUGGCAGAGGUCUAGAGUAGUAUCUAGAAAUUUGAGUAGGAAAGUAAUGGAGAGCCCAUGACAAACCUCUUGCUCUCCUCUGUUCUUCCUGAGAUCCAUGAGGGAAAAAGUUGAUGCAGGCAGACUCUGAAUGAAAUACUUGGUACUUACUUAAAGCUACUUUCUCAUCUGCACUGCGUACUACUGCAUCUGCACUGCACAAAUCAUAUGGCCAGAGGAGGGCCACAAAGACGAUCAGAGGGCUGGAGCACCUCCCAUACAAGAACAGGCUGAGAGAGUGGGGGUUGUUCAGCCUGGAGAAGAGAAGGCUCCAAGGAGGCCUUAUAGUGACCUUCCAGUUACUGUAAGGGGGCCUACAAGAAAGCUGUGGAGGAACUUUUUACAAGGGCAUGUAAUGUUAGGACUAGGGGGAAUUGCUAUAAAUAGGAGAGGGGAAGAUUUAGACUAGAAAUUAGGAAGAACUUCUUCACAAUGAGGGUACCGAGGCACUGGAACAAGUUGCCCAGGGAAGCUGUGGAUGCCCCCUCCCUGGAAGUGUUCGAGGACAGGUUGGAUGGAGUGUUGAGCAGCCUGACAUAGUGUGUGGUGUCCCUGCCCAUGACAGGGGGGUUGGAACUAGUGGAUCUUUAAGGUCCCUUCCAACCAAAAUUGUUCUAUGAUUCUGUGAUUCUAUGUGUUAUAUGUACACUGCUGGUAUGCACUUGCAAGGCACUCAAAGGUGAAAAACAUAGAAGUAGGAGAUGGGGACAAAAUCCCAGUUUGUAAAGGAAACAGUGGUGAACUGACAAGUUUUAAAAUACUCAGUGAAAUAAAUAUAAAAUUUUUCAAGACCCUUGCAGGCAUCAUAGAUACUGUGUCACAGUUUUCCACAGCUUUUCAGAUUAAGUACGAUUUCUUGACUUUUCUGAGAAUUCAAAUUUGUCAAGAAGUGAAUGAAAGUGAAGACAGUGGCUGGAAUUUGGCAUGUCAUGUAGUCUGUGACAGACUUUCUCAGUGAGGACAAGACACACAUGGGUUGAUGUUCUAGCAUCACAGCAAGCUGAGGUAGACACCAACCAAAAUAGGAGAAGCAGUGAGCAGAGGUUGUGACUUCUAAGCAGGGGAACAGUUACUCACUUUUAGACAAAAGCAGCAUUUCUACUAAAUGAAUCACUAGGGACACUCACUGUUCGAGUCAGCAAGAGCAACGUUAACUUGUCUCAUCCAGAAGAAAUUUUCAUCACUCUUAGCUUAGUGCAUGCAGUUGACUCAGUGCAGUCCUUCAGGAGGUAAUAUUUAUCCAGGCAAUAUCUUAGUGUCAGUAGGCAAAGCAGUAACACAGCAGCACCCAUGUAAUUGAAGCUGUAGCAUGCCAUUGUGUGUAAUGAAAUCAGCUCUAUACAAGGUCACCCAAUCUGUGGAAUUGAGACCCAUAUGAGCUGUUGCAGCCAUUAACUUUCUUUGUCUUUAUACUUUUCAUUAUGUUUGAGAAUUUGGUUCCAGGCUAGUAGCCUGCAGCAGCAGGCAACAAAGAUGAGGUUUUGCUGAGGUGCAAUCCCCAGAGAGAAAAUAUGUGACAAGAUUGUACUCACUGGGUGAUGUCCUGUUUAUAGCUUGUGUUUGGGAAUGGCCUUAUCUGUGUUCCUUUACACACUGAGAGAGUAAUUAAAGGCUCAUUUUCAUUUCCUUUUUUACCUUACUGCUAUCAUCCAGAUAAUUUCAGUGUCCUUAAUCAACAUUUGCAGGCGUAAACAAUGUUAUGCUAGUAACAGUGUUGUGACAUAAACAUUUCCUAAUGUUACUACAAUGAACAUAAAUGUUAGAUUGUCCCAUGUUUAGAGAUAGAAAAAUGGAAGAAGAGACUGGUAAAGUGAGUAGUCUGUAAUGAUAUUAGUCUGUUUUAGACAGGACCUUUCAAGUUGUCGUGACCCAGACAGUUCUUUGUCUCAGGUUUUGCAGCUCUGCAUAAAAAUCUACGUGAAUUAAUCUGUAGAUUUUAAUCUGUAGAAGGGGAAAAAAACCCAAACCCAAAACAACUACAACCCAAAGAACCAAAUCCAAAAGAAAAAACACCCAGAUCAAGGAAAGAUUUACUCUUAUCCAGUGAAGAUCAACUGUUUCUGCAACAGGGCAGUGGAUGACUAGAGAAAGAGAUACACAAAUUACCACUCAUUACCUGUUCCACAAGGAAAAAGCAAAGAUGAUGAACAAGCUUGUUAACAGAUAUGACACCCCAAGCAACCAUGAAGCACUUGCUGAAACAGUUGGGAUUUUAGUGCCAAACAUCUUGAUCUUAUCACUAUCACAUUACAUGACUAAAUAAUACAGAAGUGAAUGUGGUGUGUUCUCUCCAGCGAUGAUGUUAUCCCCUAAAUGGAAAAGUGUGGAAGAUGGAAUGUGCUAUAUAAGCAUAAAAUAUAGAUGUAGGCCUUAAUUUCCACUAAAAUCAAUGAGCCUGGCUUGUGCUUUGCACUUGCAUAGCUCAUUCCAUCUUCCCUAUGUUAUUGCCUUACCAAUUAGAAUUAUUAAAAAGCAAAGAUAGGGGCAGCAGCCGCAACUUCCAACUAACAACACACAGAGUCCAAGACCUGAAGAAAAUAAUGUACAGUUUUCAUAAAAAUAUAAAUGAUAGCAAUCUUAAAGGCCUAGGAUAAUUCAAUCAUCUGUCUCUCAUAUUCCUCCAGAUACUUAUUAUUUAAGUAUCAUGGCAUGCCUG